This 315-nucleotide ribosomal RNA is filed under the name uncultured Sphingomonas sp. RNAcentral describes it as "bacterial SSU rRNA". It matches the Rfam family "Bacterial small subunit ribosomal RNA", at positions 100 to 433 of the family's 1533-position model. The record is from RNAcentral. Lineage: Bacteria; Pseudomonadati; Pseudomonadota; Alphaproteobacteria; Sphingomonadales; Sphingomonadaceae.
CACGGGUGCGUAACGCGUGGGAAUCUGCCCUUAGGUUCGGAAUAACAGCGAGAAAUUGCUGCUAAUACCGGAUGAUGGCUUCGGCCCAAAGAUUUAUCGCCUAGGGAUGAGCCCGCGUAAGAUUAGGUAGUUGGUGUGGUAAAGGCGCACCAAGCCGACGAUCUUUAGCUGGUCUGAGAGGAUGAUCAGCCACACUGGGACUGAGACACGGCCCAGACUCCUACGGGAGGCAGCAGUGGGGAAUAUUGGACAAUGGGCGCAAGCCUGAUCCAGCAAUGCCGCGUGAGUGAUGAAGGCCUUAGGGUUGUAAAGCUC